Molecule: ribosomal RNA, 253 nt
Filed under: uncultured bacterium
Lineage: Bacteria
Description: partial 16S ribosomal RNA
Rfam family: Bacterial small subunit ribosomal RNA
Source: RNAcentral
UACGUAGGGCGCAAGCGUUAUCCGGAAUUAUUGGGCGUAAAGAGCUCGUAGGCGGUUUGUCGCGUCUGCUGUGAAAUCCCGAGGCUCAACCUCGGGCCUGCAGUGGGUACGGGCAGACUGGAGUGCGGUAGGGGAGAAUGGAAUUCCUGGUGUAGCGGUGGAAUGCGCAGAUAUCAGGAGGAACACCGAUGGCGAAGGCAGUUCUCUGGGCCGUAACUGACGCUGAGGAGCGAAAGCGUGGGGAGCGAACAGG